AAUGGUUCGCACUUGCUGCGAUUAAAAGGGAACCGGGUGUGAAUCCCGGACAGUCCCGCUGCUGUAAGUUUCUAUAAUGCUUUGGACAGUGUGCCACUGGAAUAUUUUCCGGGAAGGCGUCCGAAAACGAAACAAGUCAGAAGACCUGCCAUUC
This 154-nucleotide non-coding RNA is filed under the name human gut metagenome. The record is from RNAcentral.